AUACGGAGGAUGCGAGCGUUAUCCGGAUUUAUUGGGUUUAAAGGGUGCGUAGGCUGUGCGUUAAGUCAGGGGUGAAAUGCCGUCGCUCAACGACGGAGCUGCCCUUGAUACUGGCGUGCUGGAGUACGGAUGCCGUUGGAGGAAUGAGUGGUGUAGCGGUGAAAUGCUUAGAUAUCACUCAGAACACCGAUUGCGAAGGCAUCCGACGAAUCCGUCACUGACGCUGAGGCACGAAAGCGUGGGGAUAGAACAGGAUUAGAUACCCUGGUAUUCCACGCCGUAAACGAUGAUGACUAACCGUCGGCGAUAGACAGCCGGUGGCCAAGCGAAAGCGAUAAGUCGUCCACCUGGGGAGUACGUCGGCAACGAUGAAACUCAAAGGAAUCGACGGGG
Molecule: ribosomal RNA, 393 nt
Filed under: uncultured bacterium
Lineage: Bacteria
Description: partial 16S ribosomal RNA
Rfam family: Bacterial small subunit ribosomal RNA
Source: RNAcentral